Electrophorus electricus (electric eel) is the source of this 2387-nucleotide non-coding RNA. NCBI's taxonomy places the organism in Eukaryota, Metazoa, Chordata, Actinopteri, Gymnotiformes, Gymnotidae. The record is from RefSeq and is a predicted model, not a curated record.
CUUUACAGUGGUUUGUGAUGUUAAAAUAAGUCCCCGGUAUUUCCAUUAGGUAAGUAGCUAGGUUACAUAUGUUGUGCUUUUCGUGAUAAGGCGAAGAAAGUAGCCUUUAAGAGCUUUAUUUUUUUCUGGAAAUACGAACGCUAUAAUGCGAUUGGAGCCAUAUGGAUCUGCACAAUCGCUCUAACCAGUUCAUGUUGGAUAACGAAGGUACCAGAUGCCACCGUCAUGAGUCAAUCCUUCAUUCUCUGCCUCAUCCAUUCCCAAUCUGGCCAGACAGAGCUGGAAAAGUAAUGGACGUGGAGAACAUGAUACAAGAACAGUUCGAAAAACAAAUGCCUACACACCAAGCAGGACCUGUUAUAGCCCAUCCCUUAGGGAAGAACACACGUCUUUGGGACGUGGAAAAUCUGUGGAAACCCGUUAAUCCAGUCUUCUGCUUGGCCUGUGAUACAGUGUUCAUUGAUAGACAAAGACUCGAAGAGCAUGUGUGUCCUUUCGUCAGCUUCAUUUGUUCAUGUGGUGUUAGUUUUUGUGAUUAUACAGAAAUGUGGGCUCACAGUUCUUCACACAACCAUAAAGCCUCUUAUGUACUGAAUCACAAAAAUGCCAUGGAGAACAGGAUUAUUAGUGUUAAAGAGCAGGAAUCAAAGCUGAAGGUCUUAGAGGAGACUGCAAAGAACAUUGGCAUUGUUAAGGACACUGUUCCUUUUGUCCUUUCACCAGCUCCUAAGCCUAGGUACACAACCGGACAGACUGUAAAACUCUGGUGGCGUUUCAGGCCAAUUGUAAGGCUGGAGACUUUUCAGAGAUUUUACAAUGGAAGGAAGUAUAUGUGUGCAACUUGCCAUGAUGAGAUUGGCAGACAGGACCAGCUGAUUGAGCAUGUUGAUACUCACAGUAAGACCUGUAUAUAUGGCUGCAGCCACUGUGGGAUUCUAUUGAUCAGCAGUGUACCGCCGAAACCUCACCACAGGUGUGGGUCCUUUCAGGCCAGCCCUUCUAAAAGGUUCACCACUGGCCAGGUGCAAAUAGACCCUCUGUCAGCUGAGACCUUGUACAAGCCCUAUACUUGUCAGCAUUGCUCUUUGAAAUUUGGUCAUCCCAUACACCUCAGGAACCAUGUAAAAAUCAACCACAUCAACAUUACCAAAGUAAGAGGUGCAAACGGAGAGCAACAGACUUUGGACAACAUGCCAAAUAGGACCUCACAAAAAGUAAGUCUGGGGUAUGCACAGGUCUCUGUACAGUUGCCCAGACAGCACUGGUGCACAAGAAAGCAGACUUUAUUCAGGCCUGAGACUGUAGUACAGAUGGCCCCCAGUCAAGCUCAGCAAAGAUCAGAUCCAUAUGCGUCGGCGCAUAAUAAAGGGGGCAGUGAAAUGACCCUUCAGUUUCAAGACCUCAGCAACAUUAAGACAUAUGGUAACACAAACCUAUUGACAAUAAAAACUAAGCAGGUAGUAGUAAUUGAUAAGAUAACACAAACAGAAUUUUCCCCUAGUCUAUCUAUGAAAUCUGACCCUGAAUUACAUGACAAUGAAUAUGGAGUGGAAAAGACUACUGAAAUGAAUAGACUUCUGCAAGUCCCAAGUGCAGCCAUCCCAGUGCUAAAAAACUGAACCAACUGCUUUAGUACUAAUAAAAUCAGUAGUUUUACCUGGUCAUUUCUGUAUCUUAAAAUAGUUUCUGGUUUUCCUAAGAAAUUAGAAUAAUUAAUUUAUUUUGUGUUUUUUUUAUCAUUUAGAAAAUUCCUUCCUUCACCUCCGUAACCUGUUUCACUGAAUAAAUAAUUUUACGUGUGUGGACGGUGCUGAUGAAACCAUAAAGCUAAUUCAAUUUGCAACUACAGCCUCCACACUUAAAUAAGUCUGCAGCAUUCGAAAAGAAAAGUACCUUUACUUAUAUAAAUCAAGUGGAAAACAGAACAUGCACUGGCGUGCUAUUUAGGAGACCGUCAAAAAAAAACUACACUACUAACAAUGAGUCAUAUAUACGUCCCUAGCCUCAUUAUGUACACAAGUAACCGCGCAGUGGACUGACUCAGACGGAAACGGAAGUUUGGUAAUAUGCUGUGAGACUGCUGUCUGCAGGAGGCUAGGAAAAGCUAAUGGAUACGAGUAAGCGUUGUUAGCUAAAUAUAUAAUCUUCAGCUAAAAUGACUUGGCUCUUUUAGGAAGUAUUUGUACGGGAGCUAGUCGAGGAUUUUCAUAAGUUGAUAAAAGGCGAUUCCAAGGACCCUCCCGUCAGUGGCGUACCGGAAAGCACAAUCCCUGGUUGUGUGCUGAUUUGCUUGAGAGGAAAACGGUGCCAGAAAAGGAUUUACACUUUGUGCUUGAGGCGGAUAAGCUGAGGCAAUGAAGCAACAUGUUCAUAGCUGCAAGAGUAUA